ACUAUGAACGUGCAGAAAGCAUAACCCUAGAUGAGGACCUACUAAACAACAUAAUUACAUGUUUAUGACCACUCCUUAAAGAUAAUUCUGCUCUAAUAGUUUUUAGAUUUAAGUCCAACGAGUGUACCAUCAACAGCAACAUGGCCAUUUCGUUUAAUCAACUCCAGAAGCAAGCGCAUAAGUUACAACAAGAUUUAAUGGAUUAUUCAGGACUCCCUCACGACGUGAUAGAAAACAUUGUGGCCUACACAAGAUGUCUGACCAAAGAUGAAACACCAGAAGAGGUUGAUGACGUUAUUUUUGCUGCUCAAAUGUUAAGGCACUUCAACCUCACCUCACCAGCAAUGAUAUCCAGCAUGUUUA
Long non-coding RNA from Physella acuta, 363 nucleotides. RefSeq lists it as uncharacterized. The record is from RefSeq and is a predicted model, not a curated record. NCBI's taxonomy places the organism in Eukaryota, Metazoa, Mollusca, Gastropoda, Physidae.